This 254-nucleotide ribosomal RNA is filed under the name uncultured bacterium. Its description in RNAcentral is "partial 16S ribosomal RNA". It matches the Rfam family "Bacterial small subunit ribosomal RNA", at positions 524 to 776 of the family's 1533-position model. The record is from RNAcentral.
UACGUAGGGGGCGAGCGUUGUCCGGAUUCAUUGGGCGUAAAGAGCUCGUAGGCGGCUUGGCAAGCCGGGUGUGAAAACUCCAGGCUCAACCUGGAGACGCCACCCGGGACUGCUAUGGCUAGAGUCCGGUAGGGGAUCACGGAAUUCCUGGUGUAGCGGUGAAAUGCGCAGAUAUCAGGAGGAACACUGGUGGCGAAGGCGGUGAUCUGGGCCGGCACUGACGCUGAGGAGCGAAAGCGUGGGUAGCAAACAGG